This 253-nucleotide long non-coding RNA is filed under the name Athene cunicularia (burrowing owl). RNAcentral describes it as "lncRNA (ENSACUG00000011945.1)". Lineage: Eukaryota; Metazoa; Chordata; Aves; Strigiformes; Strigidae. The record is from RNAcentral.
GGAAAAUAUACCAUAUAUGGAAAACUGUAUUAAGGGAUCAUUUUGUGGGAGGUGAGAAGUACAUGGAUGUAACACCAGCUGGCCUGUUAUUGUGCCUUUCUGCUCAUUCCCCAGAGUCUGAAGUGUGGGGACAGUGUGAACUGCACUGGGGUGCAGCUCCAUACCAUACUCCAGGAUUAACUCUGACCAAGGUCAGAGCAACUAGUCACCAGUAUUCUUCAUGGGAGAGUCAGGCCUCCUGCAUCCCUGGGAA